This 950-nucleotide ribosomal RNA is filed under the name uncultured bacterium. RNAcentral's name for it is "bacterial SSU rRNA". It matches the Rfam family "Bacterial small subunit ribosomal RNA", at positions 28 to 977 of the family's 1533-position model. The record is from RNAcentral.
GAUGAACGCUAGCGGCAGGCUUAACACAUGCAAGUCGAGGGGCAGCACGGGUAGCAAUACCUGGUGGCGACCGGCGGAAGGGUGCGUAACGCGUGAGCAACAUACCCUAUACAGGGGAAUAAGCCAGGGAAACUUGGUCUAAUGCCCCAUAGCAAUAGAAUAAGGCAUCUUAUUUUAUUUAAAGCUUCGGUGGUAUAGGAUUGGCCCGCGUGACAUUAGCUGGAUGGUGAGGUAACGGCUCACCAUGGCGAUGAUGUCUAGGGGUUCUGAGAGGAAGGCCCCCCACACUGGGACUGAGACACGGCCCAGACUCCUACGGGAGGCAGCAGUGAGGAAUAUUGGACAAUGGAUGGAAAUCUGAUCCAGCCAUGCCGCGUGCAGGAAGACGGCCCUAUGGGUUGUAAACUGCUUUUCUACGUGAGCAAUAAGGUCUACGAGUAGACUGAUGAGAGUAGCGUAGGAAUAAGCAUCGGCUAACUCCGUGCCAGCAGCCGCGGUAAUACGGAGGAUGCGAGCGUUAUCCGGAUUUAUUGGGUUUAAAGGGUGCGUAGGCGGCUUUUUAAGUCAGCGGUGAAAUUUUGCAGCUUAACUGUAACAGUGCCGUUGAUACUGAGGAGCUAGGAUUUGGUUGCUGUGGGUGGAAUGUGUGGUGUAGCGGUGAAAUGCUUAGAGAUCACACAGAAUAUCGAUUGCGAAGGCAGCUCACAAAGCCAAGAUUGACGCUGAGGCACGAAAGUGUGGGGAUCAAACAGGAUUAGAUACCCUGGUAGUCCACACUGUAAACGAUGAUAACUCGCUGUCGGCGAUACACAGUCGGUGGCCAAGCGAAAGCGAUAAGUUAUCCACCUGGGGAGUACGACCGCAAGGUUGAAACCCAAAGGAAUUGACGGGGGCCCGCACAAGCGGAGGACAUGUGGUUUAAUUCGAUGAUACGCGAGGAACCUUACCCG